Molecule: long non-coding RNA, 372 nt
Filed under: Brassica rapa (field mustard)
Lineage: Eukaryota; Viridiplantae; Streptophyta; Magnoliopsida; Brassicales; Brassicaceae
Description: long non-coding RNA (BRAP_LNC007538)
Source: RNAcentral
GGUGUUGCAAAACGGUCUCAUCACGGUUGUAUUCUAAGAUUCAAAAAUCGCAUAAAACCGUUACACAUUACGGACGAUUUUUGAGUUAAGGAAAAAGAUCAAAUCUCGACUCCGUGAAUUCGUCUAAACGUUGUAAGUCUUUAUAUUAUCGGUUAUAUGCUUUUUUGUUUAGUAAUUUUCAAUCAGGAUUUUCGCGGUCCUACAAUGAGUACGUUACUUGCCUUGACGUCGCAGUGAACGAGUCCUCGCGAGUGGACGUGGCGGAGAGCGGAGAUGAGACACGCCGCGUAACGCCGUAGGAGAGUCUCGUCGAUUCCGUUUUUAGCCGCGUCACCUUCUGGGAGAUACUCUAAGUGGAGGUUGCGAAACGAC